CCGUGCAUUUCUUCCUUCAUUCCCCUCGUUUUCCAUCACUCACUCUAAUUUCGUGUCUUUUAUUAUUUGGGGAGACACAUUACCCCACAAAACACAAAACCCUUUUUGUUCCGUAACCCGAGACAGCGACUCUCGCAGACACAGAAAAAGUCGCACAAAAGCGACCUUCACUGACUCUCUCGCAAUCAGAAAAAUGUUUCGGAUAAGCAAGAUGCACGCCAAAGGUUCUAAUCUCGGGAAUAGUUGCAAACAAACACCAGGAAGUUCUUCAUCAUUUGUCCCAAACCAUCCUUUGCAGAGAGAUUUUGAUUUAAGACAUCAAGAUUAUAUAAUGAAUCAAGCAAGGUUCUUCUUUGACUGGCGAAAAGAUCCUGAAAUUAGCCAAUGCCGUAACUUGAUAAAAAAUGAUAUUUCUACAAUUUUGCAUUCCCGACAUCCUAAUGAUCAAGGACAGGCCUCUGUUUUGGCAAACUUUCUGGAAAAUCGGCUAUUUGUUGAGGCUGCUUCAAAGGAUGAGUAUAUCAACCGACAGACAAUUAUGCAACGAUUGGAUACACAACUCAAGAAGUUGUAUGCCCCAAAAUGCAGCCAAGUAAAUAGCUCUAUUGCUUGCACAUCCCAGAUGGUGCCCUCUUUUGGGUUAUUGCAAGCUAGGUCUAAUGGAAGUGUACCAGAACCUGCUUUUCAUAACGUGGCUGGUCCUAUCACCAAUGCAACCAAUUAUUGUGCAGUGCCUGUAGAUAAUAAAAAUAGCUUCCCAAAUGGAGGGUUGUCUUAUUCUUCUUUUGUUCCCCAACCGGUUUUUUUACCAGAUAACCAUCCAUCCAUCGCUACAUGCACUGAUUUGGAUGUGCUUCCUAACUCUUUUGUUUCUGGUGGGAGAAGCAAUUUGAAAGCUUGCUCCAAGUCAAUUAGUUCCUAUUUUCCUCAGCGACAGGCAGACGAUUGGAAGACGCUUCUGGUGAAGUAUGGAGAUUGUUCUAGGACUACAACGGGAAAAUCCGUCCAAUCUGAAUCUUCAAAUUUGAUGACCCCUCAAGAUGCCUUGAGGGAAUUUUCAAAAGUUUUUGAUCUUCCUCCUGUCCCGAGAAGCCUAGGAGAUAUUAGGCAACAUCAACACCGGAAGCGAGAUUUUCAACGGAAUUUAAAACCUUUUAUGCAGCCAUAUGGGCUUCCUGGUAAAACUAAUAUGGCCCAGCCUAAUGCAUUCUCCAAUCAAGGUGAACGUUGCAGUCAAAUGUUGGGGCAUAAAACAUUGAAACAACCACAACUUUUCAAAAGAAGUCUCAAUGGGGAUCAACAGUUCACUUCAGGGAGCUCAGUAGAUCUUUUUGGUUUAGAUGAUUCUGAUAAUAUGAAUUCAUGUGGUAGUUCCAAAGUUUCGGUUGAACAGAGGAUCAUGCUUGAAUAUCUUUAUUUGAAGAAUUUUAACAAUAUUUCACGGGGUAAUGUUAUGAAAUAUCUGCAUUCAACAGUUUGUCUUAAAGGGACAUGUAAUUGUGGAUGGUAUAUCAAGCUAUUAUUGCAUUUUGAUGACUGUAAAGAUGAUGGUUGUCGUACGUGUUACUCUUGGAAAUUGCAUGGCACUGAUAUUCUUGGGGGUCAUUUGAAAUUUCCUGAUAUUAUGGGUUCUGUUGAAAGAAAAAAUGACGCUCCUUCUGGAAAUACUGAAGCCAUGCUACCACCUGAAAAAAGAAGAAAAAUGGAGCCCGCUUUUGGUGUCCCUUUAAUUAAUAAUGCAAGUUUGGAUCAGUCGACUCAGAAAAUGGUUCACCCUCGUUCUUCUGAAGCUCUUUCAGAAUUGCCAUUGAGCCAAAAAGCUGAUCAAGAGAUGGAGAUGUCACCAAAUCCAACAGCUAAUAGUGUACAUAUGGAGGACAAUCAAGGAAAAAUCAGGUUGAACCAAGAUGAGAUAAAUGCUACAAAAGAAGCCAUUAAGCCAAAAGUUGAUGAAGAGAAGGAAAGGAAGUCCCCAAAUCCAACACUUAAUACUGCAUAUAUGGAAGACAUAAAAGGCAGAAUUGAAUUGGACCAGGAUGAGAUAAAUGCUACAAAAGAAAUCAUUGAGCCAAAAGUUGAUCAAGAGAUGGAAAGGAUGUCCCAAAAUCCAACAGUUACUGUAGAUAUGGAGGGCAUACAAGCCAUAACCGGGUUCAACCAGGAUGGGAUAAAUGCCACAAAAGAAGUCAUUGAGCCAAAAUUUGAUGAAGAGAAGGAAAGGAAGUCCCCAAAUUCAAUAGUUAAUACUGCAGAUAAAGAGGACACACAAGGCAGAACUAAGUUCAUCCAACAUGGAAUAAAUGUUGAUCUAGAGAUGGAAAGGAAGUCCUCAAAAACAACAGUUAAUACUGUUUCCUUAAUUGAUUUUUUCACAAGUAAUCAAAUAAAGGAACACAUUACAAGCCUGAGAAAGCAAUUUAAUCAGAGUACAAUGGUUGAAGAAUCAGGAAGUGAUGUUUACACAUGCCAAUUAUGUGGAAUGGGAACACUUUCUUUUGCCCCCGUGCCAAUCUAUUGCUUUUGUUGUGGCAUCCGCAUCAAGCGAAACGCAUGCUAUUACUAUAGAAGAGAAGAAGAUGAUACACAGCAUUGCUUUUGCAGUGUUUGCUUUAGGACUUCUCGAGGUGGGAACAUCAAAUUCAAUGGAACAUCUGUUUCCAAGACAGAUCUUGAUAAAAAGACAAAUAAUAGAGAAUUUGAAGAAUCGUGGGUUGAAUGCAAUAAAUGCAAAUGUUGGCAGCAUCAAAUAUGUGCACUCUACAACGAUAAAAGAGAUUUGGACUACAGAGCUGAGUAUACAUGUCCUAUAUGCCGCUUAAAGGAAAUUGGAAAUGGAAUGCAUGCACCCUUACCGAAGACAGCGGCUAUGUUUAGUGCUAAUGACUUGCCCAGAACCAUGCUUAGCGACCACAUAGAGAGCAGACUUUUUAAGCGUCUCUGGCAAGAGGAUGAAGAUUGGGCAAAAGCAGGGUAUAAGAAUCUUGAUGAGGUUUUCGAAGCAGAAAGUCUUUCUGUUAGAGUUGUGUUAUCCGUUGACAAACAAUUGAAAGUGAAGAAACAGUUUCUGGACAUAUUUGGGGAGGAGAAUUACCCUUCUGAAUUUCCUUAUACAUUAAAAGUUAUUCUUCUGUUUCAGAAGAUUGAAGGAGUGGAUGUAUGCCUUUUCGCAAUGUAUGCUCAGGAGUUUGGCUCAGAAUGUGGCUAUCCUAAUCAGCGUUCUGUGUACAUUUCAUAUCUCGAUUCUGUCAAGUAUUUUAGGCCUAAAAGAGUGACUAAAAGUGGAGAAGCUCUUCGUACCAUCGUUUACCAUGAGAUAUUGAUUGGAUAUCUUGAUUUUUGCAAGAAACGAGGUUUCACAACUUGCUAUCUAUGGGCCUGUCCACCUAUGAAGGGAGAAGAUUAUUUACUAUAUUGUCAUCCUGACACCCAAAAAACUCCCAAGAAAGAUAAAUUACGGCAGUGGUAUCAUUCAAUGCUAAGAAAGGCCGCUGAAGAAAAUAUCGUUGUUGGUUUAACUAACUUACAUGAUCAUUUCUUUGUUACUACUGGAAGUUGUGACUCCAAGGUAACAGCUGCUCGUUUGCCUUACUUUGAUGGGGACUUCUGGUCUGGUGCUGCUAUGGAUAAAGCCAGGCACAUUGAACAAGAGUGUGGAGGAGAUUAUAAAAUGAUCUUCGAUAAAGUAGUAUCGAAAAGAUGUUUAAAGUCCAUGGGACAUGUAAAUCCUCCUUCUGAAGGAACUGCCAAAGACAUUCUAGUGAUGCAUAAAUUGGGACAAACCAUAUUACCUUUCAAGGAAGAUUUUCUCGUAGUUCAAUUUCAGUAUGUUUGCAUGCACUGCCAUGAAGUAAUAGCAAAUGGGAAGCGAUGGUUUUGCACCGAAUGCAAGAAAUUUCAGGAGUGUGAAAGAUGCCAUACUGUUCACUCACACAUUUCAGCCAAAGGCGAGAGGCAUAGACUUCAUCAGGUCCUCAUGGAUGACGUCCUUGGUGAUACUAAGGAGAAUGAUAUCAUCCUUGAUAAUGGGUUAUUUGAUUCCCGACACAACUUUCUGAGCUUUUGCCAAAGGAACAGGUUUCAGUUUGACUCACUCCGCAGAGCCAAGUAUUCCUCAAUGAUGAUCCUCUACCUUGUGAAGAAUCCUACUCUUCUGAUUGUUGGAACAACAUGCCGCGUUUGCUCUAAAAACAAUGUGUCCCAGCGCUACUGGAAAUGUGAGAAUUGCCCGGAAUUCACUGUCUGUUCUGCAUGCUACAACGAGAGAGGUGCUAGUUGCCAUGCACACACGUUGAGUGAAGCUUAUUCACCAGCGCAAUCUCCUUCAGGGAAUCAAGAAUUGCAGCAGAACUCAGCAAUGUUGCAGCAACUUCUGGAUGUUAUUGAACAUGCAUCUCUGUGUCACUCAAUCAAAACUCAACCAUGCACUUACCCACAUUGCAGUCAAAUUAAAAAGCUGUUCGCUCAUGCCAGUAGGUGUGAAGUUCGACUUUCUGGGGGGUGCCAAUUUUGUAAGAAGGUUUGGCAGGGACUGACUUUACACUCAAGGAAUUGCAAAGACUCAGCAUGUCGCAUACCCCGUUGCAUGGAUCUGAAGAAACAAAUAGAAUGGAUAGCAACACAAGCUGAAUCGCGGCUUAGGGCUGCAGUUUUGCAAUCGGAAGAUAGCAGAUAACAAUCUGUUCAAUGAAACCCUUUGUCCAUAUAUAUUGAGCAGGAUUAUCAACUGCAACAAGCUAGUGUGUAUAGCUAGUUGAUAAUUGGUUCUUGCAAGCCGUACUAAGAUUUAUAUUAUAUUGAAGUUCACGGGUGGUGAAUUGUUUGAUAUAAUUAUACUCCAUGGCCGCCUUAGUGAAGCUGACUCUAGAAGAUAUUUCCAACAGCUUAUUGACGGUGUAGAUUAUUGCCACAGUAAGGGAGUUUAUCACUGAGAUUUAAAGCCUGAAAAUCUUUUACUUGAUUCACUAGGAAAUAUAAAGAUUUCCGAUUAUGGUUUGAGUGCAUUUCCUGAGCAGGGGGCGAGUAUCCUUCGGACAACUUGUGGGACAACUUGUGGGAGUCCGAACUAUGUGGCUCCUAAGGUACUCAGUCAUAAGGGUUACAACGGUGCUGUGGCAGAUGUUUGGUCCUGUGGAGUUAUCCUCUUUGUCCUACUGACUGGAUAUCUUCCUUUUGAUGAACUGUUGAGACAUUCACAAAAGUUGGACAAUUGGAAAAGGCCAGUGAUGCUGAACAGAGUAUUCAAGUUGACGGUUCAAAUAGAGGCACCGGUCUGAGUUCUCCUAUUCCUCUUCCAGCACGUCCUCAAAGAAUUUCUACUGGAAGAGAAUUAUUCUACCAGUAAUUAAUCUUUCUUGUAAAAAUGUGUUCAAAAUGCACUCUUGUGCUCUAGUUUAUUUGUCAACCGUGAUCUCCUGAUGUGAUCAGUUUAAAGAAGUAUAUCUGAUUUCCUUAAUCUUGGGCUGUAUAUGAUUGAAAAGCUCAACAUCAAAGAGUUGUAGUUUUAAAAUUCAAAUGUCUGGUUCCAACAUGUUAUUAAACUACUAUGAGCUCUAAAUUUCCUUUCAUUGAAUGUUUUAUUAUCUUUCGUUUUGAA
Molecule: RNA transcript, 5593 nt
Organism: Glycine soja
Lineage: Eukaryota; Viridiplantae; Streptophyta; Magnoliopsida; Fabales; Fabaceae
Gene name: histone acetyltransferase HAC12-like
Exons: 22
Source: RefSeq, a predicted model, not a curated record